AUUUAUAUAAUAUAUAUAGUAUAUUUAACUUCCAAUUAAAAAGAUUAAAAUAAUUAAUAUAAAUA
Molecule: transfer RNA, 65 nt
Filed under: Ironoquia dubia
Lineage: Eukaryota; Metazoa; Arthropoda; Insecta; Trichoptera; Limnephilidae
Description: tRNA-Gly
Source: RNAcentral